GUCCCCGCACAAGCAGCGGAGCGUGUGGUUUAAUUCGAUGCUCCGCGAAGAACCUUACCUGGGUUUGACAUAACAGUGGUAGAGAAACGAAAGUGGACCGACCCUUCGGGGAGCUGUUACAGGUGUUGCAUGGCUGUCGUCAGCUCGUGUCGUGAGAUGUUCGGUUAAGUCCGCUAACGAGCGCAACCCGCGCUGUGUGUUACAAGUGUCACACAGUACCGCCGGUAUUAAGUCGGAGGAAGGUGCGGAUGACGUCAAGUCAGCAUGACCUUUAUAUCCAGGGCUACACACACGCUACAAUGGUCAGCACAAUAGGUUGCCAAGCCGCAAGGCGGAGCCAAUCCUCCAAAGCUGGCCUCAGUUCAGAUUGCAGGCUGCAACUCGCCUGCAUGAAGUCGGAGUUGCUAGUAACCGCAGGUCAGCAUACUGCGGUGAAUACGUUCCCGGGGAUU
Molecule: ribosomal RNA, 452 nt
Filed under: uncultured bacterium
Lineage: Bacteria
Description: bacterial SSU rRNA
Rfam family: Bacterial small subunit ribosomal RNA
Source: RNAcentral